This is a non-coding RNA of Arachis ipaensis, 175 nucleotides long. NCBI's taxonomy places the organism in Eukaryota, Viridiplantae, Streptophyta, Magnoliopsida, Fabales, Fabaceae. The record is from RefSeq and is a predicted model, not a curated record.
CUUGUGGUUUUUCUGCUGAUAUAUAAUUCAGAUUCAACUUUUAUCUCAGUUAAAGUAAGUAAUCAAACAAGUUCUCCUGGUUCUGUUCACAUUGAUAAUUUGGAUAAGUGAAGCUUUCAUGGCCCAAGACAUUGGUCAAUAAGUGGUUGAAUAUCAAGUGCAAAACUGAUAACUU